AUACGGAGGAUCCGAGCGUUAUCCGGAUUUAUUGGGUUUAAAAGGAGCGUAGGUGGAUUGUUAAGUCAGUUGUGAAAGUUUGCGGCUCAACCGUAAAAUUGCAGUUGAAACUGGGAGUCUUGAGUACAGUAGAGGUGGGCGGAAUUCGUGGUGUAGCGGUGAAAUGCUUAGAUAUCACGAAGAACUCCGAUUGCGAAGGCAGCUCACUAGACUGUUACUGACACUGAUGCUCGAAAGUGUGGGUAUCAAACAGGAUUAGAUACCCUGGUAGUCCACACAGUAAACGAUGAAUACUCGCUGUUUGCGAUAUACAGUAAGCGGCCAAGCGAAAGCAUUAAGUAUUCCACCUGGGGAGUACGCCGGCAACGGUGAAACUCAAAGGAAUUGACGGGG
RNAcentral lists this ribosomal RNA (393 nucleotides) under uncultured bacterium. RNAcentral's name for it is "partial 16S ribosomal RNA". It matches the Rfam family "Bacterial small subunit ribosomal RNA", at positions 523 to 918 of the family's 1533-position model. The record is from RNAcentral.